CCCGCCUUGUUUAACAAAAACAUGUCCUAUAGAUUUUUAAUUUUAGGUCUAGUCUGCCCAAUGAUUUAUUUAAUGGCUGCAGUAUUUUAACUGUACGAAGGUAGCAUAAUCAUUUGUCUUUUAAUUGAAGGCUUGUAUGAAUGGCUGGACGAGGAACUUACUUUUUUUAUUUAAAUUUUAUGAAUUUAAUUUUUUGGUCAAAAAGCUAAAAUUUUUUUGCAAGACGAGAAGACCCUAUAGAAUUUUAUUUAUUUAUAUAAAUUAGAUUUUAUGUUAUUUAAAUAUUUUGUUUAUGUAAAUAGAUUUUGUUGGGGUGACAGUGAAAUUUAAUUAACUUUCAUAUAUAUUAUUCAUUGAUUUAUGUAAAAUUGAUCCCUUUUUUAGGAUUAUUAGAUUAAAUUACCUUAGGGAUAACAGCGUAAUUUUUUUGGAGAGUUCUUAUCGAUGAAAAAGUUUGCGACCUCGAUGUUGGAUUAAAAUUAGAAUUGGGUGCAGAAGCUCAUAUUUGUAAGUCUUUCGC
This 520-nucleotide ribosomal RNA is filed under the name Riptortus linearis. RNAcentral's name for it is "partial 16S ribosomal RNA". It matches the Rfam family "Bacterial large subunit ribosomal RNA", at positions 1795 to 2584 of the family's 2925-position model. The record is from RNAcentral. Lineage: Eukaryota; Metazoa; Arthropoda; Insecta; Hemiptera; Alydidae.